AUUGAACGCUGGCGGCAUGCUUUACACAUGCAAGUCGAACGGUAACAGGCCGCAAGGUGCUGACGAGUGGCGCGCGGGUGAGUAAUGCAUCGGAACGUGCCCAGUCGUGGGGGAUAACUACUCGAAAGAGUAGCUAAUACCGCAUACGAUCUAUGGAUGAAAGCGGGGGACCGUAAGGCCUCGCGCGAUUGGAGCGGCCGAUGUCAGAUUAGGUAGUUGGUGGGGUAAAGGCUCACCAAGCCAACGAUCUGUAGCUGGUCUGAGAGGACGACCAGCCACACUGGGACUGAGACACGGCCCAGACUCCUACGGGAGGCAGCAGUGGGGAAUUUUGGACAAAGGGCGCAAGCCUGAUCCAGCAAUGCCGCGUGCAGGAAGAAGGCCUUCGGGUUGUAAACUGCUUUUGUACGGAACGAAACGGCUCUGGUUAAUACCCGGGGCUAAUGACGGUACCGUAAGAAUAAGCACCGGCUAACUACGUG
This 482-nucleotide ribosomal RNA is filed under the name uncultured bacterium. Its description in RNAcentral is "partial 16S ribosomal RNA". It matches the Rfam family "Bacterial small subunit ribosomal RNA", at positions 30 to 507 of the family's 1533-position model. The record is from RNAcentral.